RNAcentral lists this ribosomal RNA (544 nucleotides) under uncultured bacterium. Its description in RNAcentral is "bacterial SSU rRNA". It matches the Rfam family "Bacterial small subunit ribosomal RNA", at positions 777 to 1319 of the family's 1533-position model. The record is from RNAcentral.
AAUAGAUACCCCAGGUAGUCCACGCCGUAAACGAUGGACACUUGGUGUUGGAGGUAUUGACCCCGUUCAGUGCCGAAGCUAACGCGUUAAGUGUCCCGCCUGGGGAGUACGGCCGCAAGGUUAAAACUCAAAGAAAUUGACGGGGGCCCGCGACAAGCGGUGGAGCAUGUGGUUUAAUUCGAUGCAACGCGAAGAACCUUACCUGGGCUUGACAUCUAGUGGAAGGAUCUCAGAAAUGAGUCCGCCGUUCGGGCCGCUAGACAGGGUGCUGCAUGGCUGUCGUCAGCUCGUGUCGUGAGAUGUUGGGUUAAGUCCCGCAACGAGCGCAACCCUGUGUUUAGUUGCCAGCAUUCAGUUGGGCACUCUAAACAGACUGCCGACGUUAAGUCGGAGGAAGGUGGGGAUGACGUCAAGUCCUCAUGGCCCUUAUGUCCAGGGCUACACACGUGCUACAAUGGUCGGUACAAAGGGAAGCAAGACUGCGAAGUGGAGCAAAUCCCAAAAAGCCGAUCCAAGUUCGGAUUGGAGUCUGAAACUCGACUCC